CUGGAAUCACCCUCUAUUAACUCAAGGUGGAGUUUCCUUGCUAUAGGAGUUUUUCUAGGAUACAGAAAGCACAGAACAAAUGCAGUGUUGCCUGAGGUUAAACUGCUCCAGACCUGCCUUCAGAGUCCUUCCCUCAUUGCAGAAAGGAAUGGGCUGCAUGAGACCACAGAAUACUUUGGGACCAGAGAGGGCUGCACUCAUCUUACCUGCUCCUUGCUUUCCUAAGAGUGUGACAGAGGAAGAUUCUUUGGUGUCUCCAGAGAGAGCAAACCUGAGUUGAUUUUAAAUCUUGUUCCAGAGGAAUGCUAAAGAUCAUGGACUGAGACAAGAAUAGGAAAGUCAAGCAGAUGAGGAAGCCCUAAGAUGGCAAUGAAUGCAUAAUUUUUGCCUGAAAAAGAAGAGAUAUCCAGCCUGCCCCAUGGC
Molecule: long non-coding RNA, 423 nt
Organism: Cyanistes caeruleus (blue tit)
Lineage: Eukaryota; Metazoa; Chordata; Aves; Passeriformes; Paridae
Source: RefSeq, a predicted model, not a curated record